This 2507-nucleotide long non-coding RNA is filed under the name Homo sapiens (human). RNAcentral describes it as "HSALNT0184371". Lineage: Eukaryota; Metazoa; Chordata; Mammalia; Primates; Hominidae. The record is from RNAcentral.
UGCCCAGUGCCCGCCGUCCUCACCUGGCCAGCGGGACGCGCCCGGGAACCCCGCACGCGGGCGGGCCGCCUCUUUGUUAGCAAGUUUGCCUUUCUGUGAUUCAGAGCACGCGGAGCGAAUUAAGUGGAGUGAGGGGUACUGUGCGACUGUCUGCGGGAAACCUGCGGGGAGCGCGGGAAGGGAUGGACUUGAUGAGCCGCGGCGCAGCGGCUUUCAAACCUCCCCGCGCUCCGCAGCCCCCAGCCCCCGCCCUACCCGCCCUCUCAGAUCCCUCUGUCUCCUGCCUAGGUCGGCCCCUGGGAGAGGUUGGCUCCUGGGGGUUCCCAGGGACUUUAGGGACAAGGUUUGAUGACAUAGAGCUUCCCCACGCCCCCUUCCUCCCCUCCCCUCAUCCUCCGCCCCGCGACUCCCAUCACUGCCCUGUCCCUCUCAGGGUCCUGGGGACCAUCGGCCCUGCAUUCCCUGGGCUCAGGGAGAAUCAAGAUUCUUCCUAAUCUGGAGCAAAAAGAGUAGACGGUAGGGCCCAGCUGUCCCUGCCUGCACCCAGUGGAGGUGCAAAGCUGUCCCUAAGUGGGUCUGUCCUAGCAGUGGGGCGUGCAUUGUGGGUUAUUUCCCAGAGCAACGGUGGCCUUGUGCUUAUCCAACCAUGUUCUUUUGAAACUUGACUGCAGCGAGCCGGGUUAUCCAUAUACCAGGUUGCUAGGUCAGGGAGGCCGCUACUGGGGGGCAGGGAACGCGAAGCACGCCACUGUGCCCCAGAGCACCAGUGCUCUCAAUGCCGCAGCUGACCGCUGGGAAAGGCUUCGCACAGGGCCAUGCGGGAAGGAGAUGACAGCCACAGUCCCCUGAGAUGAAGACCUGAAUGCAGAAGCUGCCGCGAAGGAGUCCCCAGAGCUUGCUGUGCGCGGUGCAGGAGGAGGAGUGUGCUGGGGGUGAGGGGGUAAAAACCUGAAGUCUGGAGGAGACCUGGAGUGAUGUGAGGUUGAGUUUCGUGUGGGGCAAGCCGGGUUUGAGAAGCAGGCCACCUUCUUCCAGGGGCACACAUCCAGCAAAUGCAGUGGGAAUGACCUGUGGUUCUUAGGAGAGAGGCUGAGGCAAGAGAUGCGAUUUUUGGAAUCAUCUGGAAAGAAGUUGGGCUGACAAGAGAAGAAAUGGAGCGAGAGGGUAGAAAAGAUAGAGAGAACAGGGCUGAAGACAGAAGCUGUCUAAGGAGGGGAAGGAGCCCAUGAGAGAAACAAUGUGGGAGGGUCGGGACUGUGCAGAGUGAAAGAACUCAGGAGAAGAGGGAUGUUCAGUGGGGGCCUGGGCUACAGAGACACCAGGAAGGAGGUGCCCAAGAAAACAGGUUUAGAUUUGGAAAUCAGGAGAUCUCUGGGGGCUUUCAAGAGAAUUAUUUGAGUGGUGGGUUGUGUAGACAAGAUUGCCACUCCUUGGGGGGCAUCAGGAUCCUGGAUCCAGUUGGUUGAUCCAGGGACACAAAGGUUCAUUUCUUUGAUUUCCUUCACGGGGACUCCGAAGGGCCUCCCCAGAGCCACAGCUUCCAGAGGGAUCUGACGAGGCCUCUGUGGAAAGCAACGCAGUUCAAGUUCAGUCUCUGCCUAAUCCUGUUUUCCUCACUCUCUCAAGGUGAGUGAGGUCUAUGGGGGUAAGCCCCCCCGCCUCCCCGUAGACCUCCUGGAAUGCCUGGAACAGCUCAGCAACCUGGGCACAGGUGGCUUGAGACAACCUAGCCAUUCGGGCCUGCUGCCAGAGUGAACGCCACAGGGAGGCCUGCCGGGUCUGGGGAGCAUGAGCUGGUCAGGCCCCCAGUAGACCCCUUGCAGGCUGAUCUCCAUCUCCAUGCAGAGUCUGUAUCCUAGAAAUCCAACCUGAGAUCCUGCGGCACCGAGAAAGGGAAGCUGUUUCAAGAGAUAGGAAUUGUCAGAAAAAGCCGGAGAAGGUGGUGUUAAAGGAAAACAUUGAGAAUGGGGAGUGAAGACGAGGGUUUUUCGUAGCAGAAGAUGGAUCUUCGAAAGCCAGGAGGCAGAGGAGAGCAACGCUGUCGGUGAGAUAAAGCUGGAGAUUUCUGCUACGUGCAGCACAUACUGCUAAUCCUCUCUCAUCUCCAGGAAGUUUUCAAAAACCUGCUUCUGUAACUAGUGGACAGGUCUUCUGGAUCCAAGGUCACCUGCUGGGGAGAAAGAGAAGCCUUUGGAUAAACAUCACAAGUUUUCCUGGAACAUGGAUUUUAUUUAAGAUUUUUUGGAAAGAAGGGAAUAAGGUUUUUACCUUUGUAAUGUUUUUACAAAUAUUUUCAAAAGUGUAACAUGUAUAUGUGCUCAUUUUAGAAAAUUUGAUCAGUAUAAAAUAUUAAAGAAGAAAGUAAAAGCUCAUUUGGAAUCUUAUCUGUUGGAAGGAAUCACUGUCUUGCUAUAUGUUGGUGAAUAUCCUUUUGAUGAUGUGUAUGUGUGUCAGUGUGUGUUUGUAACUUGAAUUUUUAAAGUUUGAGAAUAUAUUCUAGUCGUCUU